CCUACGGGAGGCAGCAGUGAGGAAUAUUGGUCAAUGGACGAGAGUCUGAACCAGCCAAGUAGCGUGAAGGAUGACUGCCCUAUGGGUUGUAAACUUCUUUUAUAUGGGAAUAAAACGUUCCACGUGUGGGAUUUUGUAUGUACCAUAUGAAUAAGGAUCGGCUAACUCCGUGCCAGCAGCCGCGGUAAUACGGAGGAUCCGAGCGUUAUCCGGAUUUAUUGGGUUUAAAGGGAGCGUAGGUGGAUUGUUAAGUCAGUUGUGAAAGUUUGCGGCUCAACCGUAAAAUUGCAGUUGAAACUGGCAGUCUUGAGUACAGUAGAGGUGAGCGGAAUUCGUGGUGUAGCGGUGAAAUGCUUAGAUAUCACGAAGAACUCCGAUUGCGAAGGCAGUUCACUGGACUGCAACUGACACUGAGGCUCGAAAGUGUGGGUAUCAAACAGGAUUAGAUACCCCUUUAGUC
RNAcentral lists this ribosomal RNA (460 nucleotides) under uncultured bacterium. RNAcentral's name for it is "partial 16S ribosomal RNA". It matches the Rfam family "Bacterial small subunit ribosomal RNA", at positions 338 to 795 of the family's 1533-position model. The record is from RNAcentral.